RNAcentral lists this transfer RNA (65 nucleotides) under Xanthochlorus tibetensis. RNAcentral describes it as "tRNA-Cys". Lineage: Eukaryota; Metazoa; Arthropoda; Insecta; Diptera; Dolichopodidae. The record is from RNAcentral.
GGCUUUAUAGUCAUAUUAUGAUAUUAGACUGCAAUUCUAAAGGAGUAUUAAUUAUACUAAGGCUU